This 253-nucleotide ribosomal RNA is filed under the name uncultured bacterium. Its description in RNAcentral is "partial 16S ribosomal RNA". It matches the Rfam family "Bacterial small subunit ribosomal RNA", at positions 524 to 776 of the family's 1533-position model. The record is from RNAcentral.
UACGAAGGGGGCUAGCGUUGUUCGGAAUCACUGGGCGUAAAGGGCGCGUAGGCGGCCGAUCAAGUCGGGGGUGAAAGCCUGUGGCUCAACCACAGAAUUGCCUUCGAUACUGUUUGGCUUGAGACCGGAAGAGGUAAGUGGAACUGCGAGUGUAGAGGUGAAAUUCGUAGAUAUUCGCAAGAACACCAGUGGCGAAGGCGGCUCACUGGCCCGAUACUGACACUGAGGCACGAAAGCGUGGGGAGCAAACAGG